RNAcentral lists this ribosomal RNA (634 nucleotides) under Pichia garciniae. Its description in RNAcentral is "eukaryotic LSU rRNA". It matches the Rfam family "Eukaryotic large subunit ribosomal RNA", at positions 1 to 665 of the family's 3401-position model. The record is from RNAcentral. Lineage: Eukaryota; Fungi; Ascomycota; Pichiomycetes; Pichiales; Pichiaceae.
CCUCAGAUCAGGUAGGAGUACCCGCUGAACUUAAGCAUAUCAAUAAGCGGAGGAAAAGAAACCAACAGGGAUUGCCCCAGUAGCGGCGAGUGAAGCGGCAAGAGCUCAGAUUUGAAAUCGUGUUUCGGCACGAGUUGUAGAGUGUAGGCGGGAGUCUUUGUGGAGCGCGGCGUCCAAGUCCCUUGGAACAGGGUGCCUGAGAGGGUGAGAGCCCCGUGGGGUGCUGUGCGAAGCGGUGAGGCCCUGCUGACGAGUCGAGUUGUUUGGGAAUGCAGCUCCAAGCGGGUGGUAAAUUCCAUCUAAGGCUAAAUACUGGCGAGAGACCGAUAGCGAACAAGUACUGUGAAGGAAAGAUGAAAAGCACUUUGAAAAGAGAGUGAAACAGCACGUGAAAUUGUUGAAAGGGAAGGGUAUUGGGCCCGACAUGGGGGGUGCGCACCGCUGUCUCUUGCAGGCGGCGCUCUGGGCGCUCUCUGGGCCAGCAUCGGUUCCUGCUGCGGGAGAAGGGGUGCCGGAACGUGGCUCUUCGGAGUGUUAUAGCCGGCGCCAGAUACCGCGUGUGGGGACCGAGGACUGCGGCUUCUGUCUCGGAUGCUGGCACAACGGCGCAAUACCGCCCGUCUUGAAACACGGA